Molecule: unclassified non-coding RNA, 241 nt
Filed under: uncultured fungus
Lineage: Eukaryota; Fungi
Description: partial contains 5.8S ribosomal RNA, internal transcribed spacer 2, and large subunit ribosomal RNA
Rfam family: 5.8S ribosomal RNA (bases 1-52)
Source: RNAcentral
AACGCACAUUGCGCCCCUUGGUAUUCCGAGGGGCACGCCUGUUCGAGCGUCAUUUCCCCCUCAAGCCCAGGCUUGGUCUUGGGCGCCGCCCCUUCUCUAGGGGCGGCCCCGAAAGCCGUCGGCGGCGGCAAGAGCCCAGAGCGCGACGCACUCGCGGAUCGAGGUUCGAGCGCCGGCCAGUCCACCUCCUCUGGAGACCCAAGUUGACCUCGGAUCAGGCGGGGAUACCCGCUGAACUUAA